This 376-nucleotide ribosomal RNA is filed under the name uncultured bacterium. RNAcentral describes it as "bacterial SSU rRNA". It matches the Rfam family "Bacterial small subunit ribosomal RNA", at positions 431 to 793 of the family's 1533-position model. The record is from RNAcentral.
CUCUGUUGUUAAAGAAGAACAUAUCUGAGAGUAACUGUUCAGGUAUUGACGGUAUUUAACCAGAAAGCCACGGCUAACUACGUGCCAGCAGCCGCGGUAAUACGUAGGUGGCAAGCGUUGUCCGGAUUUACUGGGCGUAAAGCGAGCGCAGGCGGUUUUAAGGUUCUUGAUGUGAAAGACCUUCGGCUCAACCGAAGAAGUAGCAUCGGAAACUGGGAAACGUUAGAGUGCAGAAGAGGACAGUGGAACUCCAUGUGUAGCGGUGAAAUAGCGUAGAUAUAUGGAAGAACACCAGUGGCGAAGGCGGCUGUCUGGUCUGUAACUGACGCUGAGGCUCGAAAGUAUGGGUAGCAAACAGGAUUAGAUACCCUGGUAG